Long non-coding RNA from Haliotis rubra (blacklip abalone), 186 nucleotides. RefSeq lists it as uncharacterized. NCBI's taxonomy places the organism in Eukaryota, Metazoa, Mollusca, Gastropoda, Lepetellida, Haliotidae. The transcript has 3 exons. The record is from RefSeq and is a predicted model, not a curated record.
AUUUUUAAAAGGAUGGUGUAAUUAAAGUACUGUCUGAAAUGCUAGAAAAAUGCUUUUUGACUUAUAUUUAUAAUUCAGAGGUUUUACAGUUACUUUAAUAACAAAUAUCACUUUACGAAACAUCUACCUAAUGUAGACCGAGGGAAUACAUUUUGAGACAUGCCCUAAAAUGCGUUUUUACUGAUG